GAGUGGCGAACUGGUGAGUAACACGUGGGAAACCUGCCCAGAAGCGGGGGAUAACACCUGGAAACAGAUGCUAAUACCGCAUAACAACUUGGACCGCAUGGUCCGAGUUUGAAAGAUGGCUUCGGCUAUCACUUUUGGAUGGUCCCGCGGCGUAUUAGCUAGAUGGUGAGGUAACGGCUCACCAUGGCAAUGAUACGUAGCCGACCUGAGAGGGUAAUCGGCCACAUUGGGACUGAGACACGGCCCAAACUCCUACGGGAGGCAGCAGUAGGGAAUCUUCCACAAUGGACGAAAGUCUGAUGGAGCAACGCCGCGUGAGUGAAGAAGGGUUUCGGCUCGUAAAACUCUGUUGUUAAAGAAGAACAUAUCUGAGAGUAACUGUUCAGGUAUUGACGGUAUUUAACCAGAAAGCCACGGCUAACUACGUGCCAGCAGCCGCGGUAAUACGUAGGUGGCAAGCGUUGUCCGGAUUUAUUGGGCGUAAAGCGAGCGCAGGCGGUUUUUUAAGUCUGAUGUGAAAGCCUUCGGCUCAACCGAAGAAGUGCAUCGGAAACUGGGAAACUUGAGUGCAGAAGAGGACAGUGGAACUCCAUGUGUAGCGGUGAAAUGCGUAGAUAUAUGGAAGAACACCAGUGGCGAAGGCGGCUGUCUGGUCUGUAACUGACGCUGAGGCUCGAAAGUAUGGGUAGCAAACAGGAUUAGAUACCCUGGUAGUCCAUACCGUAAACGAUGAAUGCUAAGUGUUGGAGGGUUUCCGCCCUUCAGUGCUGCAGCUAACGCAUUAAGCAUUCCGCCUGGGGAGUACGGCCGCAAGGCUGAAACUCAAAGGAAUUGACGGGGGCCCGCACAAGCGGUGGAGCAUGUGGUUUAAUUCGAAGCUACGCGAAGAACCUUACCAGGUCUUGACAUACUAUGCAAAUCUAAGAGAUUAGACGUUCCCUUCGGGGACAUGGAUACAGGUGGUGCAUGGUUGUCGUCAGCUCGUGUCGUGAGAUGUUGGGUUAAGUCCCGCAACGAGCGCAACCCUUAUUAUCAGUUGCCAGCAUUAAGUUGGGCACUCUGGUGAGACUGCCGGUGACAAACCGGAGGAAGGUGGGGAUGACGUCAAAUCAUCAUGCCCCUUAUGACCUGGGCUACACACGUGCUACAAUGGAUGGUACAACGAGUUGCGAACUCGCGAGAGUAAGCUAAUCUCUUAAAGCCAUUCUCAGUUCGGAUUGUAGGCUGCAACUCGCCUACAUGAAGUCGGAAUCGCUAGUAAUCGCGGAUCAGCAUGCCGCGGUGAAUACGUUCCCGGGCCUUGUACACACCGCCCGUCACACCAUGAGAGUUUGUAACACCCAAAGUCGGUGGGGUAACCUU
Molecule: ribosomal RNA, 1362 nt
Filed under: Lactiplantibacillus plantarum
Lineage: Bacteria; Bacillati; Bacillota; Bacilli; Lactobacillales; Lactobacillaceae
Description: Lactobacillus plantarum 16S ribosomal RNA
Rfam family: Bacterial small subunit ribosomal RNA
Source: RNAcentral